Molecule: transfer RNA, 67 nt
Filed under: Cryptonatica janthostoma
Lineage: Eukaryota; Metazoa; Mollusca; Gastropoda; Littorinimorpha; Naticidae
Description: tRNA-Ala
Source: RNAcentral
GAUUUAAUACUUUAAACAAAAAGAUUUGACUUGCACUCAAGAAAUAGAUUAUUAAAUCUUUAGAUCA